GUCCAGGAAACUUUGUGAGUGUGUGGAACACAACAUCUUAUGUGGUAGAGAAGGUCUUGGAAGCUGACAAUGGUAGAGAGAUUCAGAACAUAGCUAUAACACCAGACGGAAUGGUAAUUAUUGGGCUGUCCGAAGACAACAAAAUCACACUUUGGGCUACGAUGACAGAUAAUUGUGUGCCUAAACGAAGAACAACUCCUCACAUAAA
Xenia sp. Carnegie-2017 is the source of this 208-nucleotide long non-coding RNA. RefSeq lists it as uncharacterized. The transcript is spliced from 3 exons. The record is from RefSeq and is a predicted model, not a curated record. Lineage: Eukaryota; Metazoa; Cnidaria; Anthozoa; Malacalcyonacea; Xeniidae.